UGAAAAGAACUUUGAAGAGAGAGUUCAAGAGUACGUGAAANCGUUCAGGGGUAAACCUGUGAAACCCAAAAGAUCGAAUGNGGAGAUUCAUCGUCAGCGUAUUCAGUAUUAAUGCAGGCUAUGAUGUGAUAAUAGAAUCCUCGUGGUCACUAGAUUAUACUUGCUUGUAUUAUUUUUGCUGGGUAUGUCGGCGUGCACUUCUCCUCUAGUAGAACGUCGCGACCCGUUGGAUGUUUAUUUAUGGUCUGAUUGGUAGCCUUUGAUAUUUAUUAUAUUGAAGACCUNUNGNNGUCCUGAUAAACUGUCUGACGGUAUACAUAUNGUAUUGAGCCNCAAUUAUUUNNGUUAGACUUGCCNC
This 358-nucleotide ribosomal RNA is filed under the name Apanteles sp. Rodriguez06. Its description in RNAcentral is "partial 28S ribosomal RNA". The record is from RNAcentral. Lineage: Eukaryota; Metazoa; Arthropoda; Insecta; Hymenoptera; Braconidae.